RNAcentral lists this ribosomal RNA (253 nucleotides) under uncultured bacterium. RNAcentral describes it as "partial 16S ribosomal RNA". It matches the Rfam family "Bacterial small subunit ribosomal RNA", at positions 524 to 776 of the family's 1533-position model. The record is from RNAcentral.
UACGUAGGGUGCGAGCGUUAAUCGGAAUUACUGGGCGUAAAGCGUGCGCAGGCGGUUUUGUAAGCCAGAUGUGAAAUCCCCGGGCUUAACCUGGGAAUGGCAUUUGGGACUGCAAGGCUUGAGUGCGGCAGAGGAGACUGGAAUUCCUGGUGUAGCAGUGAAAUGCGUAGAUAUCAGGAGGAACACCGGUGGCGAAGGCGGUUCUCUGGGCCUUACCUGACGCUGAGGAGCGAAAGCGUGGGGAGCAAACAGG